AUUGAACGCUGGCGGCAGGCCUACCACAUGCAAGUCGAACGAGUGGCGGACGGGUGAGUAAUGUCUGGGAAACUGCCUGAUGGAGGGGGAUAACUACUGGAAACGGUAGCUAAUACCGCAUACCAUCAGAUGUGCCCAGAUGGGAUUAGCUAGUUGGUGGGGUAACGGCUCACCAAGGCGACGAUCCCUAGCUGGUCUGAGAGGAUGACCAGCCACACUGGAAAUGAGACACGGUCCAGAGUCCUACGGGAGGCAGCAGGGGGGAAUAUGGCACAAUGGGCGCAAGCCUGAUGCAGCCAUGCCGCGUGUAUGAAGAAGGCCUGCGGGUUGUAAAGUACUUUCAGCGGGGAGGCGUUACCCGCAGAAGAAGCACCGGCUAACUCCGUGCCAGCCGCCGCGGUAACAC
Molecule: ribosomal RNA, 406 nt
Filed under: uncultured bacterium
Lineage: Bacteria
Description: partial 16S ribosomal RNA
Rfam family: Bacterial small subunit ribosomal RNA
Source: RNAcentral